RNA transcript from Triticum aestivum (bread wheat), 3969 nucleotides. It is a transcript of the gene named mitogen-activated protein kinase 10-like, with no coding region annotated. The record is from RefSeq and is a predicted model, not a curated record. The transcript has 18 exons. Lineage: Eukaryota; Viridiplantae; Streptophyta; Magnoliopsida; Poales; Poaceae.
CGGCUGCUUGGCUCGCUCGUGAUCAGGGCUUGGGUUCUAUGGCCCUCGUGGAUCCACAAAUCCCCCUUUCUCCUCCUCCGCAGGCUCCACAUUUUAAAACCUCCCUCCACGGCCCCUCUCCCACCACCACCACCACUCCCCCACCGGAGCCGCCAGCCUCCAUCCAAUUCCUCCCCGUCUCUCCUUCUCCACGCAAGCACAAGGGGCAAGAAAGGCGGCAUCGUCACCAAAUUGGGCAAGAUUCUCUCUUUCUCGCACGCAACCAAUCGCCAGCCAGCCAGCAUCACUCCUUCUCCCGCGGCUGUCAUACAAGGACAAGAGAGGCUGCUGGUCUCCAGAGAUUUUGCGGUUCUUGGGAGCUCCGAGCGCGUGAGCUGGCCUGCGUCGUUGGAGCCUAGGUUCUUGGAUAUUGGUGGGCGAGCGAGCGAGCGAGCUUGCCGAGAUGCUGUCUGUGAGCUCGCCGAGGAUGCACAUGAGCCGGAACGCCGUGGAUUUGGGCCUGCUGGCCGCCUGCCGCUGCCGCCGCUGGGCCGCGCGCCCGGCGCCCAGGCGGCGCGCGCCAUGUGUUUGUUUCGUGGCCGCACCCAGCCAGACAGGUCUCGCGGCGAUCGACGUGCCGGCGGCUGAGACCAUUGCCAGCGCGGCGGCCGGGGCGGCGAGGCUCCCCGAGCGCGUGUCCAUCGCUUCGCUCUUGGAUGUCGUCUCGGAUGACCUGCUCAAGCUCAACAACAACCUCAAAUCGCUUAUUGGUGCAGAAAAUCCAGUUUUAGUAUCUGCCGCAGAACAAAUUUUUGGUGCUGGUGGAAAGAGAUUAAGACCAGCAUUGGUUUUUCUGGUGUCCAGAGCAACAGCGGAAGUAGCUGGCUUGUCGGAGCUAACUACAGAACAUAAACGCUUGGCAGAGAUCAUAGAAAUGAUUCACACUGCGAGUUUAAUACAUGAUGAUGUCAUAGAUGAUAGUGGAAUGCGCAGAGGGAAAGAAACCAUCCAUCAGCUGUACGGAACACGGAUAGCGGUGCUUGCUGGCGAUUUUAUGUUUGCACAAUCUUCUUGGUUUCUCGCAAACCUAGAGAACAUUGAGGUUAUAAAGCUCAUCAGCCAGGUGAUCAAGGACUUUGCUAGUGGGGAGAUAAAGCAGCAAUCGACCCUGUUCGACUGCGACGUCACCCUGGACGACUACCUGCUCAAGAGCUACUACAAGACGGCCUCCCUGCUCGCUUCAAGCACGAGGUCCGCGGCCAUAUUCAGCGGGGUGAGCACCGCAGUAUGCGAGCAGAUGUACGAGUACGGCAGGAACCUGGGGCUGUCGUUCCAGGUGGUGGACGACAUCCUCGACUUCACGCAGUCGGCGGAGCAGCUGGGCAAGCCGGCGGGGAGCGACCUGGGAGAUCAUCGACUCGGAGUUCUGCGACACGGGCUCGCUGUCGGCUGCCAUGGAGCUGGUACAUAAAAGCGGCGGGAUACGGCGGGCGCAGGAGCUGGCCAAGGAGAAGGGCGACCUGGCGCUGCAGAACCUGCAGUGCCUCCCCAGGAGCCAUUUCAGGACCGCCCUUGAGAACAUGGUGAAUAUCAUGUCGAUUUCUCGGAGAUGGUCGGUGCGACAAGGUCACCAAAAACGCCGUCUAUUUUUUUGCAUAUCGUGUAAGUGCAAGGUAAAUAUAUCCACUAUGGAUUCAUUCAUCUCCUCCACGUGACGGUGCAGGCAGAUGAACGUGAUGGUGUUCUUUUAUUUACACGUUACACACUACGGAAGGAAGGAAGGAAGGCAGAUGGUACGUACCGUCUGAUCGGAUCGUGAAGGGUUCGGCGGAGGCGGACUUCUUCACUGAGUACGGCGACGCCAACCGGUACAAGAUCCAGGAGGUCAUCGGCAAGGGGAGCUACGGGGUUGUGUGCUCCGCCCUUGAUCUGCAGACCAGGCAGAAAGUGGCCAUCAAGAAGAUACACAAUAUCUUCGAGCAUACCUCCGACGCCGCGCGGAUCCUCCGUGAGAUCAAGCUUCUGAGGCUCCUACGGCAUCCCGACGUCGUCGAGAUCAAGCACAUUAUGCUGCCUCCCUCCAGAAAGGACUUCAAGGACAUCUACGUUGUUUUUGAGCUCAUGGAGUCUGAUCUCCACCAAGUUAUUAAGGCCAACGAUGACUUGACGAAAGAGCACUACCAGUUCUUUCUCUACCAGCUACUCCGAGCCCUCAAAUACAUUCAUACUGCUAGUGUUUACCAUCGUGACCUGAAGCCCAAGAAUAUUUUGGCAAAUUCUAACUGCAAACUGAAGAUAUGUGAUUUUGGACUAGCACGAGUUGCAUUCAACGAUACCCCAACAACUGUCUUCUGGACGGAUUAUGUCGCGACAAGAUGGUAUAGAGCUCCAGAGCUCUGCGGAUCCUUCUUCACAAAGUAUACACCUGCCAUUGACAUUUGGAGCAUUGGGUGCAUUUUCGCUGAGGUGCUGACAGGAAAGCCUUUGUUUCCUGGUAAAAAUGUUGUCCAUCAGUUAGACUUAAUGACUGAUCUCCUAGGGACACCUUCAAUGGAUACAAUUUCUCGGGUCCGAAAUGAGAAAGCAAGAAGGUACUUGAGCAGUAUGAGAAAGAAAGACCCGGUCCCAUUUUCUCAGAAGUUUCCUAAUGCAGAUCCUUUGGGAGUUAAACUCUUGGAGAAGCUAUUAGCCUUUGAUCCAAAAGACCGUCCAACUGCGGAAGAGGCAUUGACUGAUCCAUACUUUAGAGGCCUUUCCAAGCCAGAGAGAGAACCAUCCUGUCAGCCAAUCAGAAAAAUGGAGUUUGACUUUGAGCACAGCAGAGUGUCAAAGGAUGAUAUAAGGGAGCUGAUAUUCCAGGAGAUAUUGGAAUAUCAUCCGCAAUUGCUGAAGAGCUACACUGAUGGCACAGAGAGGACAACCUUUCUCUACCCAAGUGCUGUCGAUCAUUUCAAGAAGCAGUUCUCUCAUCUUGAAGAAAGCGAUGGCAGCGGCCCUGUAGUCCCAGCAGAUAGAAAACAUGCAUCUCUUCCUAGGUCCACUAUUGUUCACUCGACUCCAAUUCCCGCGAAGGACACUCGGCCGCUCUUUGGCAAGCCUUGCAACAAAACUUCCUCGGAGACAGGGAGGUAUGCUGGGAAUGGUCACGGUGCUUCUCAGGCUUCACACGCGGCACAAGCAGUGAUUUCGCGGAGAGCUGCCGGUUCAGCGUUACCUUAUGACGCGGCAAGCAGGCCGACGAUUAGCCCAGGAUGCCCUCCUCAGCAGCAGAUCCCACAAAUGUAUGGGCAAUAUCAGCAUCAAGCACCUCCUGGUGCUGGUGCUGGUGCUGGGAUACCACAGGCCAUGGGGGGCUAUGCCUGUGGUGGGUACACCAAAGGCACGGCGCCUAAUGCUGCUGCUGCUGCUCCGGCCAUGAGAGCACCCCCCUAUCGACACCUACCGACGGGGCAGAAGAACGGCCCGCUGGACAGACUGGCAGUGGAGACCACCGACAUAUACACGCGGUCGCUCAACGGCAUCGUCGCCGCCGCCGCGGCAUCGGCCGGUGCCACGGGCGCCCACAGGAAGGUGGGCGCCGUGCCGUUUGGCAUGCCGACGACUUACUAGCGGCUAAGAAGGCGGCAGCGGCGCGUACCUAGACCCUUCGGCCGGAACAGUAGCAACCGGAGGGAGGCAUUGGCCUGAAAUAAGUUGGCGGAUGAGGAUCGUCCGACGACGACGACGGCGGCGAAGGCAUACAGAGAUAGUAGGUGCGAAAUCCUCUUCCAAGUCGUCUCUAGGCUACACACAAAAGACGGAGGGACGGAUGUGGCCAGACGAGCUGUUUAUUUAGGUGCAAAUGAAAAUUAAUUAGCUGGUUAGCGGCCGGCUGGAGACAGGUCAACUCAACACAGAAAUGAAGUCUGUACUGUGCUACUGCUUACUAUCCAACAGACUGAUUAAUUGAUUAAAGGGAUGAUGGUCCAUUGAUCAUCAUCAUAUGAUUCA